Pimephales promelas (fathead minnow) is the source of this 815-nucleotide long non-coding RNA. RefSeq lists it as uncharacterized. NCBI's taxonomy places the organism in Eukaryota, Metazoa, Chordata, Actinopteri, Cypriniformes, Leuciscidae. The record is from RefSeq and is a predicted model, not a curated record.
CAGAAGGUGGCGGUAAUGCGCAUUAAAAGUUGUUUGCUAAGAGCCAUUAAAAAAAUACAAAGAAGAGUUAGAACCGUUACCUGAUUCACGUCAGUCGCAAAGGAACAAGCUAGUUAACGUUAUGCCUACAAAAUGCUGUGUGGUGGGGUGCAACAACAAAAGAGACCCGAAAAUAUCCUUUUACAGGCUACCUCAGGACGAAAAAAGGUGCCAUCAGUGGCUUGCAGCCAUCAAGAGGGCAGACUGGACACCAACUGCAAACACUCGUCUAUGGUUUGAGAGUCCCACUUUGUUAAAUAUAAUUUAGCAACCAGGUGCACGUGAGCGAUGGUUGAGAGUGAGAUGUCCAUUAGGAAACCAUCAUUCUCUUCAAUGGCUCCACAAAAUUUAUACAGUAACUCUUCUGUGGUGCGCGAGGAGAGGAUCUGCAAGUAAUGAUGGCAGGCCAAUUCUGACUGUGACGUCAUCUUUGUUUCAACUGUUCCUGCAAAGGCGACCUGUUACACAGUAUCUGGGUCUGUUUUUUUAACUGAACAAGGCAUCGAUUUCGUCCAUUUUUCGAUGGACUGGAAAGAAUUGGAAAUCUUUUUUUCUUCAACAUCUUCCUGAACUGAAGUGAAUUGUGUUUCAUAACAAGAACAGAAGUUGAAUGGAAUUUAAGUACCCCAUAUUAUAACUGUAUUAUUUUCAUUAAUUGUACAGCAUCAUUUUUGUGUAUUGCUUCUCUGUCUAACAGUAAAGUUCUGACUUUUUUAUUUAUUUAAUUUUUUUGUAUUUUAAAAGUAAAACUCCAUGGACGCUUCUCAAUAUCCCUC